Molecule: ribosomal RNA, 253 nt
Filed under: uncultured bacterium
Lineage: Bacteria
Description: partial 16S ribosomal RNA
Rfam family: Bacterial small subunit ribosomal RNA
Source: RNAcentral
UACGUAGGGGGAAAGCGUUGUCCGGAAUUAUUGGGCGUAAAGAGCUCGUAGGCGGUCUGUCGCGUCUGUUGUGAAAACUCGAGGCUCAACCUCGGGCUUGCAGUGGAUACGGGCAGACUAGAGUGCGGUAGGGGAGACUGGAAUUCCUGGUGUAGCGGUGGAAUGCGCAGAUAUCAGGAGGAACACCGAUGGCGAAGGCAGGUCUCUGGGCCGCAACUGACGCUGAGGAGCGAAAGCAUGGGGAGCGAACAGG